CCUACGGGCGGCAGCAGUGGGGAAUAUUGGACAAUGUGGGCAACCCUGAUCCAGCCAUGCCGCGUGUGUGAAGAAGGCCCUCGGGUUGUAAAGCACUUUCAGUGAGGAAGAACGCCUGGUGGUUAAUACCCAUCAGGAAAGACAUCACUCACAGAAGAAGCACCGGCUAACUCCGUGCCAGCAGCCGCGGUAAUACGGAGGGUGCGAGCGUUAAUCGGAAUUACUGGGCGUAAAGCGCGCGUAGGUGGCUUGAUAAGCCGGUUGUGAAAGCCCCGGGCUCAACCUGGGAACGGCAUCCGGAACUGUCAAGCUAGAGUGCAGGAGAGGAAGGUAGAAUUCCCGGUGUAGCGGUGAAAUGCGUAGAGAUCGGGAGGAAUACCAGUGGCGAAGGCGGCCUUCUGGACUGACACUGACACUGAGGUGCGAAAGCGUGGGUAGCAAACAGGAUUAGAUACCCCGGUAGUC
This 465-nucleotide ribosomal RNA is filed under the name Vreelandella stevensii. Its description in RNAcentral is "partial 16S ribosomal RNA". It matches the Rfam family "Bacterial small subunit ribosomal RNA", at positions 338 to 795 of the family's 1533-position model. Lineage: Bacteria; Pseudomonadati; Pseudomonadota; Gammaproteobacteria; Oceanospirillales; Halomonadaceae. The record is from RNAcentral.